UGAGGUAGUUGGUUGUAUAGUAGUUUAUUAUUUGACUUUACUAUACAAUCGGCUAACUUUACU
RNAcentral lists this microRNA precursor (63 nucleotides) under Acyrthosiphon pisum (pea aphid). RNAcentral's name for it is "let-7 stem-loop (api-let-7)". Its record names the gene api-let-7. The record is from miRBase by way of RNAcentral. Lineage: Eukaryota; Metazoa; Arthropoda; Insecta; Hemiptera; Aphididae.